Molecule: long non-coding RNA, 428 nt
Organism: Rhincodon typus (whale shark)
Lineage: Eukaryota; Metazoa; Chordata; Chondrichthyes; Orectolobiformes; Rhincodontidae
Exons: 3
Source: RefSeq, a predicted model, not a curated record
UUUUGAUUCUGGUACCAUGGCUCCAACUGCCUCCCUUGGUUGGGUGUGCAAGAUCCCACAGAAUUCCUUUGAAGAAGAGCAGGGGAAUUAUCCUUGAUGGUGUACGGAGUCUUAUGGAUGCCCACCUCUUUGCUAAAUUUGUUUGAAAUUUAUUCCAUUGCCAACGCCACACUACAUGAUGGAGGGAAUCAUCAAUAUGAAGUGAAAUGAAGGUUUCUCUCAUUCCUUUAAAGGCCUUCCACUACCAGAAUGGUCUCAAAAUUAACCAGGUUUGCAGCUUUGGUCAGGCUGUCUGUCUCCUGUUAUGGAACAUUCCAACAUGGAGCUUGGAUGUGGGAGAGUGAGAAGAAAGGAAAGAUACUUUUACGUGGCACCUGUCACAACUUCCUAAAGUGCUUCAUGACCAAUAAAUCAGUCUUCAAAUGUAA